GGUCUCUUGCGUCGGCACCUGGGUGGCUUGCCGCCCACACAACCAAAUUAAAAAAUAACACAGAAGGGUAAGGUAAGUCUCCAUUAAACCCAGGAAAGAGACUGGAAAACUCCUCUUUGGAUCCUGUCUAUAGUCACAGGU
Molecule: small nucleolar RNA, 141 nt
Filed under: Pan troglodytes (chimpanzee)
Lineage: Eukaryota; Metazoa; Chordata; Mammalia; Primates; Hominidae
Rfam family: Small nucleolar RNA SNORA26
About the family: The snoRNA HBI-6 belong to the H/ACA family of snoRNAs, guiding the pseudouridylation of position U4522 if the 28S rRNA.
Source: RNAcentral